AACGCUGGCGGCGUGCCUAAUACAUGCAAGUCGAGCGAACAGAUAAGGAGCUUGCUCCUUUGACGUUAGCGGCGGACGGGUGAGUAACACGUGGGUAACCUACCUAUAAGACUGGAAUAACUCCGGGAAACCGGGGCUAAUGCCGGAUAAUAUUUAGAACCGCAUGGUUCUAAAGUGAAAGAUGGUUUUGCUAUCACUUAUAGAUGGACCCGCGCCGUAUUAGCUAGUUGGUGGGGUAAUGGCUUACCAAGGCAACGAUACGUAGCCGACCUGAGAGGGUGAUCGGCCACACUGGAACUGAGACACGGUCCAGACUCCUACGGGAGGCAGCAGUAGGGAAUCUUCCGCAAUGGGCGAAAGCCUGACGGAGCAACGCCGCGUGAGUGAUGAAGGUCUUCGGAUCGUAAAACUCUGUUAUUAGGGAAGAACAAAUGUGUAAGUAACUGUGCACGUCUUGACGGUACCUAAUCAGAAAGCCACGGCUAACUACGUGCCAGCAGCCGCGGUAAUA
Molecule: ribosomal RNA, 511 nt
Filed under: uncultured bacterium
Lineage: Bacteria
Description: bacterial SSU rRNA
Rfam family: Bacterial small subunit ribosomal RNA
Source: RNAcentral